RNAcentral lists this unclassified non-coding RNA (439 nucleotides) under Schizosaccharomyces pombe (fission yeast). The record is from RNAcentral. Lineage: Eukaryota; Fungi; Ascomycota; Schizosaccharomycetes; Schizosaccharomycetales; Schizosaccharomycetaceae.
AAAAAUUCUAAUUGACUUUACGAAACAUAUUACCAGUAAGUGUUCUUUAAAAGCCUGAAAAUUGCUAAUUGUAACUAUAGAAUCUUCGCUGGAACGACAUCCCCAUCCAGCUGCUUCUUUUCCACUUCCUGCCAGCUUUACAACUGUGGACUCUGGACCUGCUAAGCAUUCAACAGCUCCUCCCGCUACUCCAGAAACUUCUAUAUUGGUGGAAGAUAGGAAUGAACUUCCAUUACGCUUUCAUCGUUUACCAGUAAGUGAAGCUGAAAUGCAAGCUGUUGAAUCUGGUGGAGCUUAUGCUUUUUAACUUCAUUAAUAAAGACAAAAGUUUUUAAGUUUGAAUACGCUAUUAACGCCGAUCACGCAUCCCAUUACUUGUUCACUUUCAAUGACGAUAAUGAUACCAUAAAUUCCAUGUUAUAAUAAUAUAUGUAUAUUC